CUACGCUUGACAUGCCUGGACGACUCCGAGAGAUCUGUUUCUCCCUUCGGGGCCAGUGCACAGGUGCUGCAUGGCUGUCGUCAGCUCGUGUCGUGAGAUGUUGGGUUAAGUCCCGCAACGAGCGCAACCCUCAUCCUUAGUUGCCAUCACGUUUGGGUGGGCACUCUAGGGAAACUGCCGGUGCUAAGCCGGAGGAAGGCGGGGAUGACGUCAAGUCCUCAUGGCCCUUACGCGUAGGGCUACACACGUGCUACAAUGGCAGUGACAAUGGGAUAAUCCCCAAAAGCUGUCUCAGUUCGGAUUGUCGGCUGCAACUCGCCGGCAUGAAGUUGGAAUCGCUAGUAAUCGUGGAUCAGCAUGCCACGGUGAAUACGUUCCCGGGUCUUGUA
RNAcentral lists this ribosomal RNA (389 nucleotides) under uncultured bacterium. RNAcentral's name for it is "bacterial SSU rRNA". It matches the Rfam family "Bacterial small subunit ribosomal RNA", at positions 975 to 1385 of the family's 1533-position model. The record is from RNAcentral.